Molecule: ribosomal RNA, 465 nt
Filed under: uncultured bacterium
Lineage: Bacteria
Description: partial 16S ribosomal RNA
Rfam family: Bacterial small subunit ribosomal RNA
Source: RNAcentral
GACGAACGCUGGCGGCGUGCUUAACACAUGCAAGUCGUACGGUAAGGCCCUUUCGGGGGUACACGAGUGGCGAACGGGUGCGUAACACGUGAGUAACCUGCCCACAACUUUGGGAUAACGCUAGGAAACUGGUGCUAAUACUGGAUAUGUGCUCCUGCUGCAUGGUGGGGGUUGGAAAGCUCCGGCGGUUGUGGAUGGACUCGCGGCCUAUCAGCUUGUUGGUGGGGUAGUGGCCUACCAAGGCGGCGACGGGUAGCCGGCCUGAGAGGGUGACCGGCCACAUUGGGACUGAGAUACGGCCCAGACGCCUACGGGAGGCAGCAGGGGGGAAGAUUGCACAAUGGGCGCAAGCCUGAUGCAGCAACGCCGCGGGCGGGAAGACGGUCUUCGGGUUGAAAACCGCUUUCAGCAGGGACGAAGCUUUUUGUGACGGUACCUGAAGAAGAAGCACCGGCUAACUACGUG